This 256-nucleotide ribosomal RNA is filed under the name uncultured bacterium. RNAcentral describes it as "partial 16S ribosomal RNA". It matches the Rfam family "Bacterial small subunit ribosomal RNA", at positions 521 to 776 of the family's 1533-position model. The record is from RNAcentral.
UAAUACGAAUGGGGCAAGCGUUGUUCGGAAUCACUGGGCUUAAAGCGUGCGCAGGCGGAUAUGAAAGUCAGGAGUGAAAUCCCAGGGCUCAACCUUGGAAUUGCUUUUGAAACUCCAUAUCUAGAAUCCGGUAGAGGUCAGUGGAAUUCCGAGUGUAGAGGUGAAAUUCGCAGAUAUUCGGAGGAACACCAGUGGCGAAGGCGACUGACUGGACCGGUAUUGACGCUCAGGCACGAAAGCGUGGGGAGCAAACAGG